This 792-nucleotide ribosomal RNA is filed under the name uncultured bacterium. RNAcentral describes it as "bacterial SSU rRNA". It matches the Rfam family "Bacterial small subunit ribosomal RNA", at positions 713 to 1504 of the family's 1533-position model. The record is from RNAcentral.
UGGCGAAGGCAGCUUCCUGGCAUCAUACUGACACUGAGGCUCGAAAGCGUGGGUAGCAAACAGGAUUAGAUACCCUGGUAGUCCACGCCGUAAACGAUGUCUACUAGUCGUUGGGUCCCUUGAGGACUUAGUGACGCAGCUAACGCAAUAAGUAGACCGCCUGGGGAGUACGGCCGCAAGGUUAAAACUCAAAUGAAUUGACGGGGGCCCGCACAAGCGGUGGAGCAUGUGGUUUAAUUCGAUGCAACGCGAAGAACCUUACCUGGUCUUGACAUAUCUAGAAUCCUGCAGAGAUGCGGGAGUGCCUUCGGGAAUUAGAAUACAGGUGCUGCAUGGCUGUCGUCAGCUCGUGUCGUGAGAUGUUGGGUUAAGUCCCGCAACGAGCGCAACCCUUGUCCUUAGUUACCAGCGGGUUAAGCCGGGAACUCUAAGGAUACUGCCAGUGACAAACUGGAGGAAGGCGGGGACGACGUCAAGUCAUCAUGGCCCUUACGACCAGGGCUACACACGUGCUACAAUGGUAGGUACAGAGGGCAGCUACACAGCGAUGUGAUGCGAAUCUCAAAAAGCCUAUCGUAGUCCAGAUUGGAGUCUGCAACUCGACUCCAUGAAGUAGGAAUCGCUAGUAAUCGCGGAUCAGAAUGCCGCGGUGAAUACGUUCCCGGGCCUUGUACACACCGCCCGUCACACCAUGGGAGUUGAUUGCACCAGAAGUGGAUAGCUUAACCUUCGGGGAGGCGUUCACCACGGUGUGGUUGAUGACUGGGGUGAAGUCGUAACAAGGUAGCCGUA